UACGUAGGCAGCGAGCGUUGCUCGGAGUUACUGGGCGUAAAGGGUGCGCAGGCGGUGGAGCAAGUCUGUUGUGAAAUCUCCCCGGCUUAACCGGGAGGGUGCGGCGGAAACUGUUCUGCUGGAGUGAGGGAGAGGCAAGCGGAAUUCCUGGUGUAGCGGUGAAAUGCGUAGAUAUCAGGAGGAACACCCGUGGUGCAGACGGCUUGCUGGACCUCCACUGACGCUGAGGCACGAAAGCGUGGGGAGCAAACGGG
This 254-nucleotide ribosomal RNA is filed under the name uncultured bacterium. Its description in RNAcentral is "partial 16S ribosomal RNA". It matches the Rfam family "Bacterial small subunit ribosomal RNA", at positions 524 to 776 of the family's 1533-position model. The record is from RNAcentral.